UCCGCUGCGCCCCGGGGCCCGGGGCCUGUGCUGCCGGCCCGGUGGCCGCGCCGGCCCUCCGCAGCUCCCCAGUGCACGGCCCUCCGCAGCUCCCCAGUGCACGGCCCUGUGGCUUGUCCCGCCGGGGCGGCCUUGUAGCCUGACCUCAGAGGAAAGCUGUGGGCUGCGGGGGCCUGCUGAGGAACCGGCCGCCCGGUGCUGUGAGGUGUCCGUACGCACCGCAGAGCGAUCCCUCAGUAGAGCUCACCGGGCCCCUGACCGCCUGGCGCCCCCACCUCAUGGUUCUGCACUGUGGCCUCCUGGUGAGAAGACGACUUCAGACUUCCCAGGCGAUCCCCCCUCUCGAUGGCGCGUAAGACACAUCAGCUCCCAGUGUGUGCAUCAACUCCGGUGCACAAGGUGUUUCAAACAUGGAAUAAAUAUCCUCUGGGCAGAUGAGUACAUUCAAGGAGCGUGAAGAGCCACCAAGCACAGCAGCCUUUGAAGCCAGCGUCCCGGAGCCCGCUCUCCCCGCCGUGCCCGGGCCGCCCGCCGGCAGCAGCAGGUGGCAGCCGUGAUCCGCGGCAGAGCUCGGAGCCAGCCGCGCCCGGGAGGAUGCCACAGCUACACGGGGAUUAUUUUUUCCUAACUUCAGUGAAUAAAAAAGAGGGGAAGUUGCUUACUAUACGGGUUUUAGGCUAUAUUUAUGCUGCUGUGUGAGCUCAGAGCUCAGCUCACAGUCAUACCCCUUGUUAGCAUUGGAAUAGGUAGUCUAGUGAGCUCUGUUCUGCUACAAACACAUCCCUCAUUUCCUCAGUUUGCUAGCUGACAGCUUAGGUGUGAGUUGAGCUGGUAACCAUCACUGCUGUACACACAAAUCCUGAAAAAUAAUCAGCAGAAACAGUUAUCAGGAAGGUUCUAGUCCUGGUAUUUGAAGAAGUAAUGAAAAAAGCUUUUCUACCAGAGAAAGUAAAUGGUGAGCUAUUCCUUCACCUGCAAGGACAGGUAGCUUGAAACACUGAAAGUACUCAGGGACUGCAGUCAACUUUUUUCUGUCUUGUAGUUACCGAGCCUUUCAUUAGGCUUCAUGCUAUCAAGAUUUUUCUACUGCAACAGGGAAUGUUCAUGGACUAAUAGAAACAUAGAGUUGUUUCCAGAUAAAAUGCACACAGAGUGAUAAAGCUGUGUGAGAGCAAUCUUUAAGAGAAGCAUUUAGUGUCCAAGGCUGUGGUAAGAUUGCAAAACUGGCAACAGUGAAAACAAACAAAUGAAAGUAAUCAAGGGGGCUGCAGGAACGCAUGCAAAGGCAAAGGCUCCCCUUGUGGGGAAGGGAGACUUGUGUAAGAUGGAAGAAAGGCAGUUAGCACGGAGGCUUUUCUGGAAGUUUCAAAGGACAAAAGAAGCAAGAGGAGGGAAAGGCGCUGGAGCAGAGGAAGAUUCAGACAAGGAACUGCAGAAAGAAGUGUGAGUUGUUACGGGGGAAAAGGCUAUGAAGCAAGAGCAGUGCAUGUUCUUCAGCGUGCUCCAAGGACAGUCCUGACUGAUGAAAUACCCAUCCACAAACCGUGUAUCCUCACUGCUCUGCUAGGCUUUGCUGACUGACAGUUACGUGCUUCGUGCCAUCAUUAGGUAAGAAAAUGCCUCCUGUUAUUCCUGUUACACGUUACAAGGUGAUAGGCUGCAUCCCUACACAAUGGCCACCUGUCUCUUGUUUGCCUGACCCUGUGUACUGAAAAUUGCUUUACAUGUUCAGUGUGAUCAUAGAUUUACCUCUUCUGAAAGACUGGCAGCUGGCUGCCCUGUAAGAAAACAUUGCACUCUACAGAACAUUAAGGCUACUUCUGGCUGGCUGCACUGAUGUACUUUGUCUUACUUUUUAGGACAGUUUCUAGAAACAAGUUUUGUUGUGUUUGUUUGUUUGUUUGUUUUUGUUUUAUUUCAGUGUAAUAUUUUCAGCUGCUUGUGAGAGUUCCAGUCUAAAGCUUACAGAAAUUCCAUUAGUUUAUCUGCUUUCAAUAUCUCAGUCAGAUUUUUGUAUCUGCAAAUUUCUUUACUUUCUUUCUUUAUUUUUUUUUACACCCAUAAUUAAGGCACACUGGACUUUACUCCUGCAAACUUCUUUGUCCCGCUUAUCAGUGAAGAAUUUACAGUGUAUCUCCAAUCUCUCAUUCCUAUAUAUUGUCCUUUAGUUAAAUAAGAGGACUUUAAAGUAUGGAUAAAGUUUAGCAUCCAUUUUAAACCAAAUAUCUUCAGUGAUGUAUUUUAGUCCAUUCUGUCAGUUCCACGAGCACAACCAUAAACAACAUUCACAAUACAGAUUAGUCUAGAAUAUUUUUUCUCCCUCUACUGGACACUGAAGGCCACAAUACAUGAAAAAUAUAAUUUGGACAAUUACGUUAAAAGCUUUACAUUUCAUCUCUUGAAAUUGGGAUACAUUUGAAUGACGUUUUUUGGUCUUGCAGCUUCUUUACACUAGUUUGAGUGACUGAAUCAAGCCUGGGGCAUCUGUCAUAUGCUGUUUGUCACCCAUCAAAAAUCGUGUUUAUCUUUGCAACCAACAGAGGUGGCAAGUUCCUGAAUGUUAAAAUUGUAAUGAUGGUUAAACCUAAAGGCCAGUGAUGUAGAGCUUUAAAAACAUGUAAUGAAGAGAAGGUUAUUAUUUCAACAAAUUUGCAGCUAACUGUUUGUUUUUGUCAUUAAAAAAGCAGAGCUGGAACAGGGUGAUACUGAAUGGUGAUUAUAUGCAAACCAUCUGGUGCUGAAGAUGUUAGUUGCACAUACAGCACUUGAGAACAAAGUGAACAAGGUGAGCGUACUUCUGAUAACAAAUGGGGUGUUAUUUUGGUUUAAAAAAAAUCCUUGGAACGACUAUCUCCUAAUCAGACAUUAAAAACAAGAGCUCCUGAAAUGCCUAGUCGCUCACUUCAAAAAGCUAACAGAUUGAAAGAUGCGUUUUCACUUUAUAAAAACGUCAGCAAUUUGUCUCUGUUAUUCCAGAUUCAACAGGGUUGAGCCCAGCCUCACUCCCAGCCUAAUCAAUAGACAAACGAACUUCUAAUAGAUGAGGUGCUAAAAAUGAAGCAAGCCUCACAAGUCAGCAGCGCUAAGUAGAAUAGCAUGCUGCUUCCGUCUCCUUUCAGGCUGAGACUUCCUUCUGCGCUUGACAAACACGGGCUGUUCUCGAAAACAACAGAGACAUAUUGUUCUUGCAUCCUGUAAGGUGAUGUAACUGCAGUGCUGAGGGGAUUAACACCGAUUCUGCAUUUUGUGGAAAAUGACAUUAUUUAGAAAAACACCGAUUGCCAUUCAGACUGUAGCAAGAAACAAUAACCUACUGUAUCUGACAGAUUAGCAAAUAUUAACUUUUAACUUAGUUUGCUUGUCAUCUUCCCACCCCAUUUACCCAUUUCUUAUCAGCAGAAGCAAAUGUCAGGCAUAUCUCUUUGAAAAAGGGGACUGCUUAACGCAAAAGCAAACAGAGCUACUGAAGUUACUGCAGUGACUAAUUUUUCUAAUUAUUCCAGAAUUGACCUGCUGUCUACAGAAGUAAUGGAAAACAAUGAUACAGGAGCAGGCUUUGUGCCAACAAGUUGAUUAGUCUUAACGAGAUCAAUUUUAACAGGAUGGACCCAUUGAUGUGACAUAUAAACAUAACUGUAAAUAUGUAUAUUGUAUAUUUUUCCUCCUUUUCUCCUGUACCUGUUUCAUCAAAACCUCUAAUAAAAUAUAAGGCAAUAAAAUGAUCA
Apus apus (common swift) is the source of this 3725-nucleotide long non-coding RNA. RefSeq lists it as uncharacterized. Lineage: Eukaryota; Metazoa; Chordata; Aves; Apodiformes; Apodidae. The transcript is spliced from 2 exons. The record is from RefSeq and is a predicted model, not a curated record.